This 85-nucleotide transfer RNA is filed under the name Felis catus (domestic cat). It matches the Rfam family "tRNA". Rfam says of the family: Transfer RNA (tRNA) molecules are approximately 80 nucleotides in length. Their secondary structure includes four short double-helical elements and three loops (D, anti-codon, and T loops). Lineage: Eukaryota; Metazoa; Chordata; Mammalia; Carnivora; Felidae. The record is from Rfam by way of RNAcentral.
GCCUGGAUAGCUCAGUUGGAUAAGCGUCCGACUUUGGCUCAGGUCAUGAUCUCAUGGUACGUGGGUUCGAGCCCCUCUUCGAGCU